This is a long non-coding RNA of Apis dorsata (giant honeybee), 958 nucleotides long. RefSeq lists it as uncharacterized. The transcript has 2 exons. The record is from RefSeq and is a predicted model, not a curated record. Lineage: Eukaryota; Metazoa; Arthropoda; Insecta; Hymenoptera; Apidae.
UCGUUAUGUUAUUUAAAUUAUAUAAUUUUUAUUCGCUAUAAAAUGAUGUAAAUGAUUUUUUUAUAUAUGAAAUUUAGAUUUGAUAUUCCAAAAAUUAAAUAUUUUUCUAAUCGUUCAAUCGUUUAAAUUGUAGACACUAUUUUAGGAACACACGGCUUGCACUUGGUUUCCACAUGCUCUCGACACCGUUUGAAUGAUUUAUAACAUUUAACCAGCAUAGACCUUGACGGCUAACCUUCUCCGCAUUAUUUUAAAAGCUUCCGAUAGAUUUCUGAUACUUCCACGCUUCGCUUGUAAACGCGAUGUUAAUAGCAUAUUUCAUAUUUCAUGAAAACUCAAGAAAGUUGCACGGAAGCUAUUAUCUCUUCUCUCAUUAUAUUACAUUAUACAUGUAAGAUUGUAUAACACAAAAUCUUUCUUUACAAAGUUGGGAAUCAUGAAAUAUCAAAAGCAAUUGUAUCUAAUUUAUUUUAAUAAAUUUAUUUUAAUAAAAAUUUUAAAUCUAUUUGCACGAGAAUAGAAUUAAUGAAUAUAUAAUAAAAAUGUAACAAGAAUUUGAAAAAUUGAUUCCAAAUUUAAUCGGUAGUAUAUGUUUUAGAAUUAUGUAUUGAAUUUUUGGAAGCAAACGAUUCAUGCAUAUUCCUUUCGAAACGAAUCGAUUCGAAACAAAACCACUACGACUAUCUAUACAAUUGCCAUAGUACAUGCCAGUGUUUUUCAACCUUUUUUGAUGUUCAAAUAACUUGCGAUCUCCUUCGAUGUAAGGUUGGGAAUCACUGGUGUAUACAAAAGUUUACGCUAUGCCUGGAGAGAAGCCAAACGAAAAACGCAAAAAUGCAAAUCUGCCUUUAUGCAUGGCCACCUACCGAAGUUUGAUCACUGUUUUGUGAUCCGGUGGAUAUAUAUUCCGGUCGAUUAUGUCCAUCAGUCACAAUUCGUAAUUUACCAAACGAAACGA